UGACGAAUCUAACAGAGGGUACUGGGACCUCGUGUGGAACCCAUCAGCCUCUGCAACUGGAUCGUUUGAUGUGAUAAAGGCUACAGAUUUUGAGGUUAUAGUGGAAAAUGAAGA
Molecule: non-coding RNA, 114 nt
Organism: Cucurbita pepo subsp. pepo (vegetable marrow)
Lineage: Eukaryota; Viridiplantae; Streptophyta; Magnoliopsida; Cucurbitales; Cucurbitaceae
Source: RefSeq, a predicted model, not a curated record